RNAcentral lists this ribosomal RNA (445 nucleotides) under uncultured bacterium. Its description in RNAcentral is "SSU rRNA". It matches the Rfam family "Bacterial small subunit ribosomal RNA", at positions 26 to 518 of the family's 1533-position model. The record is from RNAcentral.
AGAACGAACGCUGGCGGCAGGCCUCAAACAUGCAAGUCUAGGGGGUGUAGCAAUACAUCACCGGCGGACGGGUGCGUAACACGUGGGAAUAUACCUUUUGGUUCGGAACAACGCAGGGAAACUUGCGCUAAUACCGAAUGUGCCCUUACGGGGAAAGAUUUAUCGCCAAAGGAUUAGCCCGCGUAGGAUUAGCUAGUUGGUGAGGUAAUGGCUCACCAAGGCUCCGAUCCUUAGCUGUUCUGAGAGGAAGAUCAGCCACACUGGGACUGAGACACGGCCCAGACUCCUACGGGAGGCAGCAGUUGGGAAUCUUGGACAAUGGGGGAAACCCUGAUCCAGCCAUGCCGCGUGAGUGAUGAAGGCCUUCGGGUUGUAAAACUCUUUCGACGGGGACGAUAUGACGGUACCGUAGAAGAGCUCCGGCUAACUUCGCGCCAGCAGCCGC